AGUGAACGCUGGCGGUAGGCCUAACACAUGCAAGUCGAACGGCAGCACAGUAAGAGCUUGCUCUUACGGGUGGCGAGUGGCGGACGGGUGAGGCAUACAUCGGAAUCUACUUUUUCGUGGGGGAUAACGUAGGGAAACUUACGCUAAUACCGCAUACGACCCACGGGUGAAAGCAGGGGGUCUUCGGACCUUGCGCGAUUGAAUGAGCCGAUGUCGGAUUAGCUAGUUGGCGGGGUAAAGGCCCACCAAGGCGACGAUCCGCAGCUGGUCUGAGAGGAUGAUCAGCCACACUGGAACUGAGACACGGUCCAGACUCCUACGGGAGGCAGCAGUGGGGAAUAUUGGACAAUGGGCGCAAGCCUGAUCCAGCCAUACCGCGUGGGUGAAGAAGGCCUUCGGGUUGUAAAGCCCUUUUGUUGGGAAAGAAAAGCAGCAGGUUAAUACCCCGCUGUUCUGACGGUACCCAAAGAAUAAGCACCGGCUAACUUCGUG
This 492-nucleotide ribosomal RNA is filed under the name uncultured bacterium. Its description in RNAcentral is "partial 16S ribosomal RNA". It matches the Rfam family "Bacterial small subunit ribosomal RNA", at positions 29 to 507 of the family's 1533-position model. The record is from RNAcentral.